This 331-nucleotide small RNA is filed under the name uncultured bacterium. RNAcentral describes it as "bacterial SSU rRNA". It matches the Rfam family "Bacterial small subunit ribosomal RNA", at positions 39 to 358 of the family's 1533-position model. The record is from RNAcentral.
CGAGGAUGAGCGGCAGGCCUAACACAUGCAAGUCGAACGGUAACAGUUGACGCUUGCUUCUUGGCUGACGAGUGGCGGACGGGUGAGUAAUGUCUGGGAAACUGCCUGAUGGAGGGGGAUAACUACUGGAAACGGUAGCUAAUACCGCAUAACGUCGCAAGACCAAAGAGGGGGACCUUCGGGCCUCUUGCCAUCGGAUGUGCCCAGAUGGGAUUAGCUAGUAGGUGGGGUAACGGCUCACCUAGGCGACUAUCCCUAGCUGGUCUGAGAGGAUGACCAGCCACACUGGAACUGAGACACGGUCCAGACUCCUACGGGAGGCAGCAGUGGG